GACGUAGGGGGCGAGCGUUGUCCGGAUUCAUUGGGCGUAAAGCGCGCGCAGGCGGCCACGCAAGUCGGAUGUGAAAACCCGGGGCUCAACCCCGGGCCUGCAUCCGAAACUGCGUGGCUAGAGGCAGGCAGGGGAGAGCGGAAUUCCCGGUGUAGCGGUGAAAUGCGCAGAUAUCGGGAGGAACACCGGUGGCGAAGGCGGCUCUCUGGGCCUGUCCUGACGCUCAGGCGCGAAAGCUAGGGGAGCGAACAGG
RNAcentral lists this ribosomal RNA (253 nucleotides) under uncultured bacterium. RNAcentral describes it as "partial 16S ribosomal RNA". It matches the Rfam family "Bacterial small subunit ribosomal RNA", at positions 524 to 776 of the family's 1533-position model. The record is from RNAcentral.